Molecule: long non-coding RNA, 243 nt
Filed under: Linum usitatissimum (flax)
Lineage: Eukaryota; Viridiplantae; Streptophyta; Magnoliopsida; Malpighiales; Linaceae
Description: long non-coding RNA (LUSI_LNC001522)
Source: RNAcentral
ACAUCGUGACAGUUCCUCAGAUCCCACGUGGUAAUUUCACAAUUUGGAGAUUUUGCUCGCUGCGGAGUUUGUACGAUACUUCGUAGCUACCUGCCUGCCUCCUACCCACGGCUCUGCUUCCCUCCUUGGCACCGGCGGAACCCUAACCCUAAUCCUAAUCCCAAUCCUCUUCACCAGCAAUUGUUGCUUCCCGCCCUGCUAGAUUCCGCCUGAACUUGUAGGUGCUUUAUGCCUUUUUGUAAU